This 210-nucleotide long non-coding RNA is filed under the name Mytilus galloprovincialis (Mediterranean mussel). Lineage: Eukaryota; Metazoa; Mollusca; Bivalvia; Mytilida; Mytilidae. The record is from RNAcentral.
CUCCUAUUUAUUUGUAUUGUAGUCCUGUAAUAUUAUGUUGUCAUUUUAAUGUUAUAUUUAACAUUGCCAUUAAAGUGCGAGGUUUGGCAUGCCACAAAACCAGGUUCAACCCACCAUUUUUUUCUUUAAAAAUGUCCUGUACCAAGUCAGGAAAAUGGCCAUUGUUAUAUCAUAAUUCGUUUCUGUGUGUGUAACAUUUUUACGUUGUGU